RNAcentral lists this ribosomal RNA (391 nucleotides) under uncultured Alphaproteobacteria bacterium. RNAcentral describes it as "partial 16S ribosomal RNA". It matches the Rfam family "Bacterial small subunit ribosomal RNA", at positions 414 to 819 of the family's 1533-position model. The record is from RNAcentral. Lineage: Bacteria; Pseudomonadati; Pseudomonadota; Alphaproteobacteria.
GGCUUMKGGUUGUAAGCUCUUUUACCAGGGAUGAUAAUGACAGUACCUGGAGAAUAAGCUCCGGCUAACUCCGUGMCAGCAGSCGCGGUAAUACGGAGGGAGCUAGCGUUGUUCGGAAUUACUGGGCGUAAAGCGUACGUAGGCGGUUAUWCAAGUCAGAGGUGAAAGCCUGGAGCUCAACUCCGAGAACUGCCUYUGAAACUAGAUAACUAGAAUCUUGGAGAGGUGAGUGGAAUUCCGAGUGUAGAAGGUGAAAUUCGUAGAUAUUCGGAAGAACACCAGUGGCGAAGGCGGACUCACUGGACAWGUAKUGACGCUGAGGCACGARAGCGUGGGGAGCAAACAGGAUUAGAUACCCUGGGKAGUCCACGCCGUAAACGAUGAUAACUAG